AUUGAACGCUGGCGGCAUGCCUUACACAUGCAAGUCGAACGGCAUCGCGGGAAAGCUUGCUUUCCUGGCGGCGAGUGGCGAACGGGUGAGUAACACAUCGGAACGUACCGGCUAGUGGGGGAUAACCCGACGAAAGACGGGCUAAUACCGCAUACGCUCUUCGGAGGAAAGCAGGGGACCUUUGGGCCUUGCGCUAGUCGAGCGGCCGAUGUCCGAUUAGCUAGUUGGUGGGGUAAAGGCCUACCAAGGCGACGAUCGGUAGCGGGUCUGAGAGGACGAUCCGCCACACUGGGACUGAGACACGGCCCAGACUCCUACGGGAGGCAGCAGUGGGGAAUCUUGGACAAUGGGGGCAACCCUGAUCCAGCAAUGCCGCGUGGGUGAAGAAGGCCUUCGGGUUGUAAAGCCCUUUCGGCAGGGAAGAAAUCGGCGGGGCGAAUAACCCUGCUGGAUGACGGUACCUGCAGAAGAAGCACCGGCUAACUACGUG
Molecule: ribosomal RNA, 490 nt
Filed under: uncultured bacterium
Lineage: Bacteria
Description: partial 16S ribosomal RNA
Rfam family: Bacterial small subunit ribosomal RNA
Source: RNAcentral